Molecule: long non-coding RNA, 1830 nt
Filed under: Homo sapiens (human)
Lineage: Eukaryota; Metazoa; Chordata; Mammalia; Primates; Hominidae
Description: HSALNT0391762
Source: RNAcentral
GUUCUUUUCGAGGUCGGCCGCGUGGCUGGAAGACAUGGCCACUCCAGUCGGUGUUGAGCACGGCGAGCAGUCUCAGGCCUUUAGUGAUGAUGAUUAAAGGUGGUGGCUGUGGCCUUGAAAACAGUCAUGUGAAAACUCAUCACCUUAAGGUGUUAAGUGUAAGGAUCUUCAUGAUGAAAUUUCUGUAAAUGGUGCAGUCAGCCUCAGUUUCCAAAGCCGGAAAAGGAUCCUCUAGUAGCCACGGUGUGGCAGCUGCUCUGAACCAGGACCUGGACCCGGACCCAAAGUGCCAUGUCUUUAAUGUGAGUUAGCUCCCAGCGAUGCCAGAUGGGAUCAGCACAGCCCUGCCUCUGCUGCUAAUUGUUCCUCUAAAGUAAUCGCCAUGCGUUCUUUGGGCUUCAUCUUUAAAGGAAUGAAGCAACUGAGAUUAUUCUGGAAAACCUUUUGGCAGUUAGUGAAAUUAGAGUACAACUAAGAACAUUUUCAGACCUCCACUGUGGAUGACCUGGGUAUAAUCUCACAAAUCGAUGGGACUGCAAGGAUUGUAAACUGAAAUGAACAUGAUUAUACUCUGUUGGAAGAGCCUAAGAGGAAACUGAUGCCAUGAGUUUCAGAGAGUAAUGCUUAACCCCAGUUACACAGGAUGCCGUCUUGUGUUUCCUCUUGUUUAGUUACCCACUACAGUGAUUUUGUGAUCUGCUAAUGGGUUGCCACCCACAACCAUUGCUUUAGCACUUUUACUUCAAAUCAAUGAAGGAUUGAUAAAAGUUCUCCUGGUGUCUCCGCAGAGUGCCUUCCAGGAACAGAUCUUUGCAUAGAAUAUCAGUGGUUUCCUUUUUUGUUUCAAAUAGUGGUCAGAAAAUACCCAGUGUUGACUCACCAAGGCAAUCAGCUUCCUUUUUCCCUUUUUUUGUUUUUUUUUUAACAUUUUAUAUUUUUGCUUUAUUUUAUUUUAUUUUAUUUUAUUUUAUUUUAUUUUAUUUUAUUUUUUGAGACGGAGUUCCACUCUGUCGCCAGGCUGGAGUGAAGUGGUACAAUCUUGGCUCACUGCAACCUCCACCUCCCGGGUUCAAGCAAUUCUCCUGGCUCAGCCUCCUGAGUGCUGGGACUACAGGCGCGUACCUUCUUUAGUAGAGACUGGGUUUCACCAUGUUGGCCAGGAUGGUCUCUAUCUCCUGACCUUGUGAUCUGCCUGCCUCAGCUUCCCAAAGUGCUGAGAUGACAGGUGUGAGCCAUCAGACCCAGCAUUUUUUUUUUUAAUUUAAAUUUAAAUUUUUUUUCAUUUUUUUGAGAGGUUUUUUUUGUUUUGUUUUGUUGUUGUUGUUGUUGUUGUUUUUGAGACAGUCUUGCUCUGUCACCCAGGCUGGGAGUGCAGUGGCAUGAUCUCUGCAACCUCUACCUCCCAGGUUCAAGCAAUUCUUGUGCCUCAGCCUCCCAAGUAACUGGGACUACAGGUGCACGCUACCACACCUGGCUGAUUUUUUUUGUUUUAGUAGAGACAGGGUUUCAACCAUGUUGCCCAGGUUGGUCUCAAACUCCUGAGCUCAGGCAAUCCACCCGCCUUGGCCUCCCAAAGUGCUAGGAUUACAGGUGUGAGCCACCACACCCAGCUAUUUUUUCUUUCGUUUUUUAAUUUUAAAGUUGGGGGGGGGUCUCAAUUUGUUACCCUGGCUGGUCUCGAACUCCCGGACUUAAGCGAUCCUCUGGCUCCAAGCCCACUACCAGUCUCAGGUUUCUUUACUAAAAGAUCACUACCUUUUUUUCUCUUAUCUGCUGCCAUGUGAGAUGUGGCUUUCACCUUCCGCCAUGAUUGUGAGGCCUUCCCAGCCA